RNAcentral lists this ribosomal RNA (454 nucleotides) under uncultured bacterium. Its description in RNAcentral is "partial 16S ribosomal RNA". It matches the Rfam family "Bacterial small subunit ribosomal RNA", at positions 338 to 788 of the family's 1533-position model. The record is from RNAcentral.
CCUACGGGUGGCAGCAGUGAGGAAUAUUGGUCAAUGGGCGGAAGCCUGAACCAGCCAAGUAGCGUGCAGGAUGACGGCCCUACGGGUUGUCAACUGCUUUUAUACGGGAAUAACGCGCCUUACGUGUAGGGCUUUGCAUGUACCGUAUGAAUAAGGACCGGCUAAUUCCGUGCCAGCAGCCGCGGUAAUACGGAAGGUCCGGGCGUUAUCCGGAUUUAUUGGGUUUAAAGGGAGCGUAGGCCGCAUGUCAAGCGUGCUGUGAAAUGUCCGGGCUCAACCCGGGCCUUGCAGCGCGAACUGGCGUGCUUGAGUCCGCGGAAAGCAGGCGGGAUUGGACGUGUAGCGGUGAAAUGCUUAGAUAUGACGAAGAACCCCGAUUGCGAAGGCAGCUUGCGGCAGCGGAACUGACGCUGAUGCUCGAAAGCGCGGGUAUCGAACAGGAUUAGAUAUACCA